This 1660-nucleotide long non-coding RNA is filed under the name Homarus americanus (American lobster). RNAcentral's name for it is "uncharacterized LOC121879433, transcript variant X2". Lineage: Eukaryota; Metazoa; Arthropoda; Malacostraca; Decapoda; Nephropidae. The record is from RNAcentral.
AGAAUGCCGGAUUAGAGAGGUGACUCUGGGUCGUGUGCUGAGGGCUGUGGUAACUUUCAAAGGAAUAUUGAUUGAAUGGGUUGUUGUGAGAGCAUAUAAUGAACCAUUACUUGAUGAGGAUGGAAAGGUUGACUUGUACACACCAUCCCAAUACAAAGUGUUUCAGAAAGUGACCGACAAUGCAAAUGCUGCGAUGUUGAACUUCUGUUCACCAGGAUUUUCUGACUUGUCUAUCCGCUCCUUCUUUGAUUUGUGGGCUUUUUCAAUACCAUCAUUCUGUGGCCUGGGUUCCCCCUGUUGGAUGUUUUUGGAUGGGAGACAUUUCAGUUGCCAAAUCUGCAACACCUGUUCUACAUGUCUGUUAAUGGCUUAGUAGGAACUGUCCUGUCUGAACUUCUUUGGCUUUGGGGAUGCUUCCUUACUUCAUCAUUGAUGGCUACUUUAUCUUUGAGCUUAACUAUUCCCUUGACAAUGUUUGUGGACAUCUGGCUCAAGGGCAUCAAGUAUUCACUGCUAAUUUAUAUUGGUGCAAUUCCCAUGAUGACAUCUUUUAUUGCUGUCUCACUUCUCACACAUUAUGAAAGCUGGGACCCAUUGAUGGAUGGAAUGAAAUAUCUUCAUAGAAAGUGUUGGAGAAGAAACCACAUGUACAGUUUGGUUGACACAGAGGGAGUGGAAAGAGAGUUUGACUGUUAAUAGUGCUGACAAUGACGAAGCUGAGGAUGAAGAAGAACUAGACACCACACUCAUUAACAACUCCUUCACCAUCAACAGUAGUGCCACAGUCAUCAGUAGUAAUUAUUCCAUAGUCGGUAAUGAUACUGCCACCCCAGCCCCCAUAAGUAACAUCCUUACCAACCAUGUCUGAAAUCAUUGUACAAACUUGAUUAAUAUGAUGCUUAUUGUAAGAUAUUCUGAUUUUAAUUUAUUGCAAGUUUUCCCUCCAAUUAGAAAAAGUGAGUUGAAAUAGUAUUCAAGGAAAAAUUACAUGCUGUAUAUGGCAGUGGUACUGUUAUGAAGUGAGAAUAAAUCAAUAUUGAGUAGUCACUGCAGAAACUGUCCACAUGCCCUAGUUAAGGAAGUGCUCUGAGUAGAUACAUAACAGGAAGUACAGUAGUGUUAACCAUGAUUUAUUAAUAAUUUUAUAGAUUGGGUAUUAUUUUUAAAUAUUUCAUAUUUUCAUCUUAACUGCAUCAGAAUUAAUCAUUAGUACAAUUAAUUCCUCUUUCUAAACACACUCCUUUCUUAACACAACCAUCCCCAAAAUUUAGGAUGAGUUAUUGUUAGGUUUUUAACACUAGAUUUAAGAUAUACUAUGCUCCCACAAUGGGUUCCCAUAUUCCUUUUGGUUACUGAACUGUAAAGUAAUUUGGUGAAGCAUAUUGCUCUUUUAGUAGCUGUAGGGUGAUAGUUUACUCAGGAAAUCAUCAUAAUUGCACAAAUUUUAUGAGAUGAAAAGUUUUGAAUAUUUUGGGCAAGAAACUAUCAUGCAUCUAAACAGGUAGAGAAUUUUCCUGUACUGUAGUGUGUUACCUAUAGUUUGGGUGAUAUAUGAAAAUGAUAAUUUUUCCCAACAUAUAUUUUAGAUGAUACUCCUACUGAUAAUGUGUUUUUAUUGGCUGUGCCUUGGGCAUAGCAGGAAAUAAACUUGAUAUCUAUA